GGAGCAUGAAGAAAAAAGAAUGAAAAAUGGGGAGCGAUAAGAGAGAAUGUUCUUUUUCUUGGCUGGGUCCCAAGGGGGGGGGCCCUGAAAAUGAAGCUGCACACAGGACCCCACUAACUCUAAAUCUGCCACUGCCACACUGUGCAUCAAAACAACUCCUGAUUACUGAAACACACGGACAAGUUUCCCCUUUCAUAGCCGUUGCCAAGUGCCUUCUUAGAGAAGCUCUCAGUUCCCACUGACUUCUACUUGUACAUUAUAUAUUCUCAAAGAGCUUCUGCAUCAGUCUUCGGGAUGGUGCUGAGCAUGUUCCUCUCUCAUUGACUUCCUGGGAAUUGAAGGUUUGCUAUUUCACAGGAGAUGAUCAGCACCUGGCAGGAUUACUAAUUAAAGACCUGAUCAUGCACCCCAUGGAAGAACUACCACUGUCUCUGAUGGGAGCAAGAUUAGGCCUUAAAAGUGGUAUGAAAACUAUUGAUGAAGAACAUGGAACGCUAAGGGUUUGUCUACAAGGGGAAAUUUUUUUGGAAUAUGUUUUUGUCUAUAAACAUUUGUGAAAUUACUAAUCAGAAAUAAGUGAACCUCAAAUCCAGUUUUUAACCUACCUCCCUUCAAAUAGGGGACUUCAAUCACUCUGAUACCUGCUGGGAGAGCAAU
Molecule: long non-coding RNA, 657 nt
Organism: Dermochelys coriacea (leatherback sea turtle)
Lineage: Eukaryota; Metazoa; Chordata; Testudines; Dermochelyidae
Exons: 3
Source: RefSeq, a predicted model, not a curated record